Molecule: ribosomal RNA, 468 nt
Filed under: uncultured bacterium
Lineage: Bacteria
Description: partial 16S ribosomal RNA
Rfam family: Bacterial small subunit ribosomal RNA
Source: RNAcentral
GACGAACGCUGGCGGCGUGCUUAACACAUGCAAGUCGAACGGAAAGGCCCUGCUUUUGUGGGGUGCUCGAGUGGCGAACGGGUGAGUAACACAUGAGUAACCUGCCCUUGACUUUGGGAUAACUUCAGGAAACUGGGGCUACUACCGGAUAGGAGCUCCUGCUGCAAGGUGGGGGUUGGAAAGUGUCGGCGGGUGGGGAUGGACUCGCGGCUUAUCAGCUUGUUGGUGGGGUAGUGGCUUACCAAGGCUUUGCCGGGUAGCCGGCCUGAGAGGUUGACCGGCCACAUUGGGACUGAGAUACGGCCCAGACUCCUUCGUGAGGCCGCAGUGGGGAAUAUUGCACAAUGGGCGGCAGCCUGAUGCAGCAACGCCGCGUGCGGGAUGACGGCCUUCUGGUUGUAAACCGCUUUCGCCUGUGACGAAGCGUGAGUGACGGUAAUGGGUAAAGAAGCACCGGCUAACUACGUG